AGUGAACGCUGGCGGUAGGCCUAACACAUGCAAGUCGAACGGCAGCACAGUAAGAGCUUGCCCUUACGGGUGGCGAGUGGCGGACGGGUGAGGAAUACAUCGGAAUCUACUUUUUCGUGGGGGAUAACGUAGGGAAACUUACGCUAAUACCGCAUACGACCUACGGGUGAAAGCAGGGGAUCUUCGGACCUUGCGCGAUUGAAUGAGCCGAUGUCGGAUUAGCUAGUUGGCGGGGUAAAGGCCCACCAAGGCGACGAUCCGUAGCUGGUCUGAGAGGAUGAUCAGCCACACUGGAACAGAGACACGGUCCAGACUCCUACGGGAGGCAGCAGUGGGGAAUAAUGGACAAUGGGCGCAAGCUUGAUCCAGCCAUACCGCGUGGGUGAAGAAGGCCUUCGGGUUGUAAAGCCCUUUUGUUGGGAAAGAAAAGCAGCAGGUUAAUACCCCGCUGUUCUGACGGUACCCAAAGAAUAAGCACCGGCUAACUUCGUG
RNAcentral lists this ribosomal RNA (492 nucleotides) under uncultured bacterium. RNAcentral's name for it is "partial 16S ribosomal RNA". It matches the Rfam family "Bacterial small subunit ribosomal RNA", at positions 29 to 507 of the family's 1533-position model. The record is from RNAcentral.